CCCACGGGGGGCAGCAGUGGGGGAUAUUGCACAAUGGGGGGAACCCUGAUGCAGCGACGCCGCGUGGGUGAAGAAGCGCCUCGGCGCGUAAAGCCCUGUCAGCAGGGAAGAAAAUGACGGUAACUGAAGAAGAAGCCCCGUCUAACUACAUGCCAGCAGCGGCGGUAACACGUAGGGGGCAAGCGUUAUCCGGAUUUACUGGGUGUAAAGGGGGCGCAGACGGCGGUGCAAGCCAGUGGUGAAAGCCGGAGGCUCAACCGCGGGACUGCUCUUGGAACUGCGUGGCUGGAGUGCAGGAGGGGCAGGUGGAAUUCCUGGUGUAGCGGUGAAAUGCGUAGAUAUCACGAGGAACACCGGUGGCGAAGGCGGCCUGCUGGACUGCAACUGACGUUGAGGCCCGAAAGCGUGGGGAGCAAACAGGAUUAGAUACCCUGGUAGUC
RNAcentral lists this ribosomal RNA (440 nucleotides) under uncultured bacterium. Its description in RNAcentral is "partial 16S ribosomal RNA". It matches the Rfam family "Bacterial small subunit ribosomal RNA", at positions 338 to 795 of the family's 1533-position model. The record is from RNAcentral.